UUUAUAGAGGUCGCGUUUUUUAUAAGUAGCUUUUUGGAUGCAGGCAGGCAUAAGAAGAAAAGAUGAAAGGAAAAAACGCCGAAAGAUAAAGAGUGCCGAACUUUAUCUUGGGCAUGUGAUGAAUAAUCAUAUGACUGUCAUCAGA
RNAcentral lists this non-coding RNA (145 nucleotides) under pig gut metagenome. RNAcentral describes it as "Lysine riboswitch". It matches the Rfam family "Lysine riboswitch aptamer", at positions 9 to 153 of the family's 182-position model. Rfam says of the family: Riboswitches are metabolite binding domains within certain messenger RNAs that serve as precision sensors for their corresponding targets. Allosteric rearrangement of mRNA structure is mediated by ligand binding, and this results in modulation of gene expression. The record is from RNAcentral.